GAUGAACGCUGGCGGCGUGCCUCAAACAUGCAAGUCGAGCGGGGCUAUGUAAUAUCGCAAGGUAGAACAUAGCCUAGCGGCGAACGGGUGAGUAACACGUGGGUAACCUGCCUGGAAGACAGGGAUAACGAUUCGAAAGGGUCGCUAAUACCUGAUAAUAUCCUUUCAUCGCAUGGUGAUAGGAAGAAAGGGGAAACCCGCUUUCAGAUGGGCCCGCGUCCCAUCAGCUAGUUGGUAAGGUAAAGGCUUACCAGGGCGACGACGGGUAGCCGGUCUGAGAGGAUGUACGGCCACACUGGGACUGAGAUACGGCCCAGACUCCUACGGGAGGCAGCAGUUGGGAAUCUUAGGCAAUGGACGAAAGUCUGACCUAGCGACGCCGCGUGAGGGAAGAAGGCCUUCGGGUUGUAAACCUCUGUCAUGGGGGAAGAAGUAAGUGACGGUACCCCAAGAGGAAGCCCCUGCUAACUACGUGCCAGCAGCCGCGGUAAGGAGUAGUACA
This 502-nucleotide ribosomal RNA is filed under the name uncultured bacterium. Its description in RNAcentral is "bacterial SSU rRNA". It matches the Rfam family "Bacterial small subunit ribosomal RNA", at positions 28 to 536 of the family's 1533-position model. The record is from RNAcentral.